UACGAAGGGGGCUAGCGUUGCUCGGAAUCACUGGGCGUAAAGCGCACGUAGGCGGAUCGUUAAGUCAGGGGUGAAAUCCUGGAGCUCAACUCCAGAACUGCCUUUGAUACUGGCGACCUUGAGCUCGGGAGAGGUGAGUGGAACUGCGAGUGUAGAGGUGAAAUUCGUAGAUAUUCGCAAGAACACCAGUGGCGAAGGCGGCUCACUGGCCCGAUACUGACGCUGAGGUGCGAAAGCGUGGGGAGCAAACAGG
RNAcentral lists this ribosomal RNA (253 nucleotides) under uncultured bacterium. RNAcentral describes it as "partial 16S ribosomal RNA". It matches the Rfam family "Bacterial small subunit ribosomal RNA", at positions 524 to 776 of the family's 1533-position model. The record is from RNAcentral.